CAGUAGCCGCGGUAAUACGGAGGGUGCAAGCGUUAAUCGGAAUUACUGGGCGUAAAGCGCACGCAGGCGGUCUGACAAGUCAGAUGUGAAAUCCCCGGGCUUAACCUGGGAACUGCAUUUGAAACUGUCAGGCUGGAGUCUUGUAGAGGGGGGUGGAAUUCCAGGUGUAGCGGUGAAAUGCGUAGAGAUCUGGAGGAAUACCGGUGGCGAAGGCGGCCCCCUGGACAAAGACUGACGCUUAGGUGCGAAAGCGUGGGGAGCAAACAGGAUUAGAUACCCCUGUAGUCCCUGUCUCUUAUAC
RNAcentral lists this ribosomal RNA (301 nucleotides) under uncultured bacterium. RNAcentral describes it as "partial 16S ribosomal RNA". It matches the Rfam family "Bacterial small subunit ribosomal RNA", at positions 509 to 807 of the family's 1533-position model. The record is from RNAcentral.